UUGUAACCGAUAGACUGGGCUGGGGCAACGCUGAUGAAAGGCAAAUUCCUGAGAGAAAAAUCACCCAGAUUUUUCAGUGCCUUCUCUAGCUUUCUAGAAGUUGUUAUGAGUGGACCUGACUACCUAGAGAGAGUAAUACAGAAGCUCCGUGCCGAUCACAGCUACCUCAUUACCAUGUUCCUCCAAGAUGGCCGCCCCUGAGGAGAAUCAUCAACUGGGCUUUACGGAAGAGAGAAAUCCAAACGACCAUCAGCAACAAAUGAAAGACUGAAGUUGAAAGGCAAGUCUUCAGAUUUGAAUUUCAAGAUUGUCAAGAAUGACGAGUUGGACUUGGUCUAGUUACUUCCACAGCAGCAGGAGGAACAUGUGUGUGACUCAGGAUAACUGGGGAAGCCUUGGCUAGGCUUUCCUCAUGUCAACCUACCACUCAAAGGGAGAAAACCUCCUGAUCAGAGGUGCCCAGAACCCAGGAAAUCCAUAAUUUUUGAAUGCUGGCCGAGGUCUGUGACCUCUGACUGAAUGGUUUCCAAGCUCCGAAUUCCUAGGUGAUGUUUUCAUUUGUUCACACUUGCUGAAGAAGGGAAAGGCUCUCUGAUUUACGUGUAAGCAAAACAAUCUAAACAGUAGGAUAAAAUCAUGUUGGAAUGGAGUUCUGUGUGGAUGCUCCUUUGAACCAAAUCAGUUCCACAACUGACCCUGUCAGGGACAUAUAAAUUUAGCAUUUUGGUGUGGAUACAGAAGACGAGAUUAACACAGAUCAAGUAACAUGGAAAUAAAAAAGGAGACAAUGCUGGAUGAUACAGGGGCAGCCAACAAGAGGAGAAAACCCAAGCAUUGGCAAAUGCCUCAUUAUCCAAAGAACACUGAGGUGUGGAGCAAAACUGUGUUGAAUGAACUGUAGAUGGAAAUUCUCUCCUUCCCACCGAGGAGCCGCUGCAGGUUGCAGACUCCCAGAAUGCCACACUGAGAAGAGGAGGGCUAAAAUUCUAGAGCAGAAUCCCUGGGGCAGCCCCUGCUGAAGAAGGGUGCAUCUGUUGAGAAUCUCAUCACCGCCCCCACCCCGCCCAGCCUUCAAUUUAGAGGAAUUUCUAGUUCACGCAGAAUGAAGACAAGAUCACAUAAGUGAGGACGACGCCCCAUUUACAAGUGUGAUUUGGAAGACUGAAGUGGAAACCUUGGGAAGGUGGGCCUCAGAGUAUGUCAGCUGGGGUCAGACGGGAACAGGAGUCUGGCUCAACACACAUUUAUUGCACUCCUGUUUCAUGCCAAGAAAUGUACCAAAAUCUGGGACUGUGUAACACAGCAAAGGAAAAGACUCAUCUCCAGGAAGCCCCCUUGUCUAGGAAGAGAAAUUGAAUAUCAGCAUAAGGUGGUGAAAAGCUGUGAAGGAGAUGAGUGCCAGGAGUCCAUGGAGGAAGGAUUCUAGCCUGGACAGGUGAGGAAUGGCUUUCUGGAAGAAGCAGAUGCCCCAGCUGAACUUUAAAAUGCCCAUGUGAAAUGAACUGUCUGUAUCUUCAAUCAGCAAAUGGAGUAGGUGGCCACUGUUUAAUUCUGGAAUGGGGAAGUGUAAAGGUGUGGUGUGUGUGUUUACCCCUACUUAGGGAUUCAAAACAGACAGUAAAGAACAAAAGUCUAGCCCUUUGAGCAUUCUCCAUGGGACAUUUGAGGUCUAGCUGGCCCCAGAGAAAGAGAGACAGAAGCAAGGUCAUAUCCAUUUGAGAAAAUCAAAGUGUCUGCUCCAA
Molecule: long non-coding RNA, 1742 nt
Organism: Homo sapiens (human)
Lineage: Eukaryota; Metazoa; Chordata; Mammalia; Primates; Hominidae
Product: long intergenic non-protein coding RNA 1206
Source: Ensembl